RNAcentral lists this long non-coding RNA (1053 nucleotides) under Sus scrofa (pig). Its description in RNAcentral is "lncRNA (ENSSSCG00035076825.1)". Lineage: Eukaryota; Metazoa; Chordata; Mammalia; Artiodactyla; Suidae. The record is from RNAcentral.
CGAGAACUAAACCAUCGGGGAAGAGAGAACACACAGGAAAAGCCACAGAGCAAGGGGUUGCCAGCUCUAAGAACGUGGGUAGAAAUUAAUAAGUACACUGGACUUAACUAGAGCAUUUGAGUAAAGACAUGACGGAAGACUGAGAAGAGCAGACCACAGAGCUGAGACGUGCCAGAGCUCCACCUGGGAGUUCCCGUGUCAUUUCAGAGGUGUUAAAGAGGCCUCUCUCCUGGAGUCAUGGAUCUGGACGCUAAGGCAAUUUCCCCAUCGUGGCGGCUUUAAUUGGACCAGGCUUCCUAAACAGCGUCAUUUCCCCCUCGACCAGCCCUCUCUGUGCACACAUUUAGAAAAGAGGAAGCGGGUUCAAGGGAGGGCAUUGGGAGAAAAAAAACAAAAAAAAAACCGCCUGUUGGAGAAACGGAGCUCUGAGAACUCAUCCUAAGUAGAGCAAAUAGCAGGAGGCAUGUGGAAAACUGAUUAGUGAGGAGCAAAGCAGACGUUUAUUGCCCAGAGGUAGAAAGUUCACUAAUCUUCCUGCGAAACCUCUGUUUUCAUUUCCUUCUCAACUAACCUCCCUCUGGACCAAAUUUAUCACCUGUCUUAAGCUUCCAAUUGCUACAGAAACCAAAGAAGUCCAAGGACUAUGAAUGGAAUCUCAUGGGAAUUGAUCUCCCCAUUCUGCCCUGAACCCCCAAAGAUCAUCUUGAGAUGCUGACGACUUUCACUACAUUUUGUGCUUUUCCGACCCCCCCCCCCCCCCCCCCCCCGUUACCAGUGGACUUGAGGAAGGGCGAUGUGGUGGACCUCAGGGAACCGUCAACGCCGAGAAGACAUCUACAUCUUUGCAACAUGAGGCUGUAACGGGAGCCUUCAGGGUCAGGAGAUGAAGCUCUGGGCCAAGCAGCAUUGCUGGGGCUGGGCUGGCACAGUGGACCCUUCUGCUAAGUGAGAGACCUUGACAUGCGGAUUGUUAAAGACCAUCCAAGCUGGAACAAGUUGAGCACAAAAUAAGUAGCCGUAUCGGAUUAUCGCACAAAGUAUUUAUAAGGAGAC